This 1580-nucleotide ribosomal RNA is filed under the name metagenome. RNAcentral describes it as "bacterial LSU rRNA". It matches the Rfam family "Bacterial large subunit ribosomal RNA", at positions 1265 to 2925 of the family's 2925-position model. The record is from RNAcentral.
AAGCGGCUGUGGAGUGUAUAGAAGUGAGAAUGCCGGAAUGAGUAGCGCGAAUGCAGUGAGAAUCUGCAUGGCCGAAAGCCUCAGGUUUUUGGAGGAAGGUUCGUCCGCUCCAAGUUAGUCGGGAGCUAAGGUGAGGCCGGAAGGCGUAGCCGAUGCACAGACGGUAGAGAUUCCGUCACCACCAAAAGAGUUAAGCACAGGGACACAUUUGAAGUCUCAGAGCCGGGUGUUGGUUCCGGUAGAGAUCGAGGGAAAUUAGUACCGAAGUCUGGGAUGGAAGAUGGCGAGAAAAGCUGUGUGUAUUUCUGAGGUGCCCGUACCGCAAACCGACACAGGUAGGUAGGAAGAAGAUUCUAAGGCCAACGGGAGAAGGGUUGUUAAGGAACUCGGCAAAUUGACCCCGUAACUUCGGGAGAAGGGGUGCUCCAGAGAUGGAGCCGCAGAGAAUCGGCCCAAGCAACUGUUUACCAAAAACACAGGUUUGUGCUAAAUCGAAAGAUGACGUAUACGAGCUGACGCCUGCCCGGUGCUGGAAGGUUAAGAGGAGAUGUGCAAGCAUUGAAUCGAAGCCCCAGUGAACGGCGGCCGUAACUAUAACGGUCCUAAGGUAGCGAAAUUCCUUGUCAGGUAAGUUCUGACCCGCAUGAAAGGCGUAAUGAUUUGGGCACUGUCUCAACAGCCCGCCCGGCGAAAUUGUAGUACCGGUGAAGAUGCCGGUUACCCGCGACAAGACGGAAAGACCCCAUGGAGCUUUACUGUAGCCUAAUAUUGGGUUUCGAUGUUGCAUGCACAGGAUAGAUGGGACACUGGGAAACAAUCGCUUUGGCGGUUGCGGAGUGGCCGUUGGGAUACCAUCCUUGCGAUAUUGGAAUUCUAACCUGCGGCUCUGAAUCGAGUCGGGGGACAUUGUUAGGUGGGCAGUUUGACUGGGGCGGUCGCCUCCUAAAGAGUAACGGAGGCGUUCAAAGGUUCGCUCAGCUUGAACGGAAAUCAAGCAAAAGAGUGCAAACGCAGAAGCGAGCCUAACUGCGAGACUGACGGGUCGAGCAGUAACGAAAGUUGGAGUUAGUGAUCCGGUGGUAUGUGAGUGGAAAUGCCAUCGCUCAACGGAUAAAAGUUACCCUGGGGAUAACAGGCUGAUCUCCCCCAAGAGUCCACAUCGACGGGGAGGUUUGGCACCUCGAUGUCGGCUCAUCGCAUCCUGGGGCUGUAUUCGGUCCCAAGGGUUUGGCUGUUCGCCAAUUAAAGCGGUACGCGAGCUGGGUUCAGAACGUCGUGAGACAGUUCGGUCCCUAUCUGUCGUGGGCGCAGGAUAUUUGAUGGGAGCUGUUCCUAGUACGAGAGGACCGGAGCGGACGUACCUCUGGCGCACCAGUUGUUCUGCCAAGGGCAUAGCUGGGCAACUAUGUACGGAUCGGAUAAACGCUGAAAGCAUCUAAGCGUGAAGCCGACCCAAAGAUAAGAUAUCCCAUUGUUUCAAACAAGUAAGACCCCUUGAAGACUACAAGGUUGAUAGGCACGAUGUGUAAGUGGAGUGAUCCAUUCAGCAAGCGUGUACUAAUAGGUCGAGGGCUUGACCA